UGCAGUCGAACGAUGAAGCCCAGCUUGCUGGGUGGAUUAGUGGCGAACGGGUGAGUAACACGUGAGUAACCUGCCCUUAACUCUGGGAUAAGCCUGGGAAACUGGGUCUAAUACCGGAUAGGAGCGYCYACCGCAUGGUGGGUGUUGGAAAGAUUUAUCGGUUUUGGAUGGACUCGCGGCCUAUCAGCUUGUUGGUGAGGUAAUGGCUCACCAAGGCGACGACGGGUAGCCGGCCUGAGAGGGUGACCGGCCACACUGGGACUGAGACACGGCCCAGACUCCUACGGGAGGCAGCAGUGGGGAAUAUUGCACAAUGGGCGCAAGCCUGAUGCAGCGACGCCGCGUGAGGGAUGACGGCCUUCGGGUUGUAAACCUCUUUCAGUAGGGAAGAAGCGAAAGUGACGGUACCUGCAGAAGAAGCACCGGCUAACUACGUGCCAGCAGCCGCGGUAAUACGUAGGGUGCGAGCGUUAUCCGGAAUUAUUGGGCGUAAAGAGCUCGUAGGCGGUUUGUCGCGUCUGUCGUGAAAGUCCGGGGCUUAACCCCGGAUCUGCGGUGGGUACGGGCAGACUAGAGUGCAGUAGGGGAGACUGGAAUUCCUGGUGUAGCGGUGGAAUGCGCAGAUAUCAGGAGGAACACCGAUGGCGAAGGCAGGUCUCUGGGCUGUAACUGACGCUGAGGAGCGAAAGCAUGGGGAGCGAACAGGAUUAGAUACCCUGGUAGUCCAUGCCGUAAACGUUGGGCACUAGGUGUGGGGACCAUUCCACGGUUUCCGCGCCGCAGCUAACGCAUUAAGUGCCCCGCCUGGGGAGUACGGCCGCAAGGCUAAAACUCAAAGGAAUUGACGGGGGCCCGCACAAGCGGCGGAGCAUGCGGAUUAAUUCGAUGCAACGCGAAGAACCUUACCAAGGCUUGACAUGUUCUCGAUCGCCGUAGAGAUACGGUUUCCCCUUUGGGGCGGGUUCACAGGUGGUGCAUGGUUGUCGUCAGCUCGUGUCGUGAGAUGUUGGGUUAAGUCCCGCAACGAGCGCAACCCUCGUUCCAUGUUGCCAGCACGUAAUGGUGGGGACUCAUGGGAGACUGCCGGGGUCAACUCGGAGGAAGGUGAGGACGACGUCAAAUCAUCAUGCCCCUUAUGUCUUGGGCUUCACGCAUGCUACAAUGGCCGGUACAAUGGGUUGCGAUACUGUGAGGUGGAGCUAAUCCCAAAAAGCCGGUCUCAGUUMGGAUUGGGGUCUGCAACUCGACCCCAUGAAGUCGGAGUCGCUAGUAAUCGCAGAUCAGCA
RNAcentral lists this ribosomal RNA (1286 nucleotides) under Micrococcus sp. RNAcentral's name for it is "bacterial SSU rRNA". The record is from RNAcentral. Lineage: Bacteria; Bacillati; Actinomycetota; Actinomycetes; Micrococcales; Micrococcaceae.